This 449-nucleotide ribosomal RNA is filed under the name uncultured bacterium. RNAcentral describes it as "partial 16S ribosomal RNA". It matches the Rfam family "Bacterial small subunit ribosomal RNA", at positions 29 to 523 of the family's 1533-position model. The record is from RNAcentral.
AACGAACGCUGGCGGCAUGCCUAACACAUGCAAGUCGAACGAGAUCUUCGGGUCUAGUGGCGCACGGGUGCGUAACGCGUGGGAAUCUGCCCUUUGGUUCGGAGUAACAGUUGGAAACGACUGCUAAUACCGGAUGAUGACGAAAGUCCAAAGAUUUAUCGCCAGAGGAUGAGCCCGCGUAGGAUUAGCUAGUUGGUGUGGUAAAGGCGCACCAAGGCGACAAUCCUUAGCGGGUCUGAGAGGAUGAUCAGCCACACUGGGACUGAGACACGGCCCAGACUCCUACGGGAGGCAGCAGUGGGGAAUAUUGGACAAUGGGCGAAGGCCUGAUCCAGCAAUGCCGCGUGAGUGAUGAAGGCCUUAGGGUUGUAAAGCUCUUUUACCCGGGAUGAUAAUGACAGUACCGGGAGAAUAAGCUCCGGCUAACUCCGUGCCAGCCGCCGCAGUAA